GGCAUCUCAACGGGGCGCAAAUGCUGAGAGGCGCGGAGUGUUUUCCGCGGCCGACCCGUAGAACCUGAUCCAGAUGAUGCUGGCGGAGGGAUUGAGAGCGCGUUGGUU
This 108-nucleotide non-coding RNA is filed under the name Arenicellales bacterium IbO2. RNAcentral's name for it is "TPP". It matches the Rfam family "TPP riboswitch aptamer (THI element)". From Rfam's summary of the family: Vitamin B(1) in its active form thiamin pyrophosphate (TPP) is an essential coenzyme that is synthesised by coupling of pyrimidine and thiazole moieties in bacteria. Lineage: Bacteria; Pseudomonadati; Pseudomonadota; Gammaproteobacteria; Arenicellales. The record is from RNAcentral.